Molecule: long non-coding RNA, 1427 nt
Organism: Mastomys coucha (southern multimammate mouse)
Lineage: Eukaryota; Metazoa; Chordata; Mammalia; Rodentia; Muridae
Exons: 3
Source: RefSeq, a predicted model, not a curated record
CUUCUCUUCUGGGAUGCCUUGUCAAGCGCAGGCUGGGCCCAGCCAACAAAACACAGUUGCCCCUUCCUCUUCCCGGUCCUCACCAGGCGCUAUUGCUUCCUCAGUGCAGCGCUCUCACCUUACUGACAAGAUUCUGGUUCACAGCUUUCACACCUCCAUAGUGGGGAUAUGUGACUUCGUCCGCUUAGUAUUUGUAUCACGCUUGGCAGGACUUAGCCUUGGACGGAGACUAUAUAAGAGAUCGUUAGAGAAAAACAAGAGAAGUGAGCCGGGGAGCACCGUCACUGGGAUCCUGGUCUAGGAGUGGGGUGUUGUGAGGAGACGACGGUGGUGGGCAUCCUGCCUGCCCACCUUUCCUGGCAUCAUUACAUCUGUGACUUUGUAUUCAGGUGCGGCAUUGCAGCAGAAAGCUGAGAGAUCGCACUAUAAACUUGGAGCAGAGACAGCAGACAACAAGCUGGAAAUAAAGAUAGGCCGUUGCUAGAGAAUUUCAAGUUUGAAUUUCUGAAGAUGAACACAAUGAGAUAAGCACUUCCAGGGCUUUUCUCAUCGUUAGAACCAGUGACAAGAAUAUAAACAUCGAUGUCGGCUGACUCCCUGGCCUUUGGAUACCAGGCAAAAGUGAGAGACGAAGCAGGGGGCACCUUUUGACCAAACCUUGGCCUCCAGACCACCAUUAGGACUGAAUUCCAGAAACCGCUUAAACACGACUCACCGACCAAGCACUUGGAUGCUCCCUAAACACUUUCUGACCUUAUUUGACCUUACUGGAAAAUGGGUUCUCUGAGGGUAAUGCCCUGUGGAUGGAGCAAAAGACGUGCUCUGUCUCAGGGAACGUCCUUCCAGGCCGCAGGAAUUCUCCUUGCAGGGAACACAGUCUAUGUCUCUCUCUGAAUGCUCAGUCUCCCUGCCUGCCCUCUCCCGAGCUCUUUGGAGACCCACUUCAUGGAAAUCCUUAAUCAAUUCUCUCCAUAAAUAGGGCGUUAGUGACAGGCAUUCGACUCUAACCUGAAAGAGCUUUGCGACCAGCUAGUGGGAUCAGCGACAAGAGUCAUUCUCAAGGCAUUUGAAUACAGUGAAGGGUGGGGACACUACCAGAAAGAAUUACAGGGAGGGAGGGAAAAGACAACGUAUUUUCACCCUCUAUGUUGAGUACUUCCUACAGGAAAAAUCAUUUUUAAAAUACUCACCUGAACUCCUACACCAAGUUCCUGGUACUGGCCUGAGAAUCAUCGAGUUCCAAGACUGUCUUGUUGAUGGCUUACCCAGGCUUCCUUUCUCACCUCUGACCAGCCUCGCCUGUAGUCUGCUGGUCUCAACUUAUAGCUAUCAAGCCUGCAGGAGAAUGGGCGAGAAAUAGCGAUACUCUCGUGGUGUGAUUUUUAUUUUUAAAUAGGAAAGUGUCUUAUAAAUUACCCUUGUCUCUG